GUGUCAGCCGCCGCGGUAAGACGGAGGAGGCAAGCGUUAUCCGGAAUUAUUGGGCGUAAAGGGUCCGCAGGUGGCAGUUCAAGUCUGCAGUCAAAGGUCGGGGCUCAACCCCGGAAAGGCUGUGGAAACUGAACAGCUAGAGUACGGUAGGGGCAGAGGGAAUUCCCAGUGUAGCGGUGAAAUGCGUAGAGAUUGGGAAGAACACCGGUGGCGAAAGCGCUCUGCUAGGCCGAAACUGACACUGAGGGACGAAAGCUAGGGGAGCGAAAGGGAUUAGAUACCCCUGUAGUCCUAGCUGUAAACGAUGGAUACUAGGCGUGGCUCGUAUCGACCCGAGCCGUGCCGUAGCUAACGCGUUAAGUAUCCCGCCUGGGGAGUACGCACGCAAGUGUGAAACUCAAAUGAAUUGACGGGG
This 415-nucleotide ribosomal RNA is filed under the name uncultured prokaryote. Its description in RNAcentral is "bacterial SSU rRNA". It matches the Rfam family "Bacterial small subunit ribosomal RNA", at positions 505 to 918 of the family's 1533-position model. The record is from RNAcentral.